AAAUUGAUCAUGGUCCUGAGUUGGGAGGUUUAUGAUUUUUUCCAAAUAACACAUGGAAGGGAGAUAUUUAUAGAGAUUUUUGGGAGACGGUGACGACCAGUUUGAAUUGGACUCAGUUAAUACAUAUAGUGAAACUAAUCUGCUGAACACUCAAUCGUGAUCAUCUAUGAAGAGAGUUUGAAUUU
Juglans microcarpa x Juglans regia is the source of this 185-nucleotide long non-coding RNA. RefSeq lists it as uncharacterized. NCBI's taxonomy places the organism in Eukaryota, Viridiplantae, Streptophyta, Magnoliopsida, Fagales, Juglandaceae. The record is from RefSeq and is a predicted model, not a curated record. The transcript has 4 exons.